CGGACGGGUGAGUAAUGUCUGGGAAACUGCCUGAUGGAGGGGGAGUAACUACUGGAAACGGUAGCUAAUACCGCAUAACGUCGCAAGACCAAAGAGGGGGACCUUCGGGCCUCUUGCCAUCGGAUGUGCCCAGAUGGGAUUAGCUAGUAGGUGGGGUAACGGCUCACCUAGGCGACGAUCCCUAGCUGGUCUGAGAGGAUGACCAGCCACACUGGAACUGAGACACGGUCCAGACUCCUACGGGAGGCAGCAUG
RNAcentral lists this ribosomal RNA (254 nucleotides) under uncultured bacterium. Its description in RNAcentral is "partial 16S ribosomal RNA". It matches the Rfam family "Bacterial small subunit ribosomal RNA", at positions 99 to 353 of the family's 1533-position model. The record is from RNAcentral.